UCUAGUAUGGUGGUUAUGACACUCGGCUUGUAAACGAGUGGGUUUGGGUUCAAAUCCCAAGUAAUGAA
Trichonephila inaurata madagascariensis is the source of this 68-nucleotide non-coding RNA. Lineage: Eukaryota; Metazoa; Arthropoda; Arachnida; Araneae; Nephilidae. The record is from the annotation of a GenBank genome assembly.